RNAcentral lists this ribosomal RNA (1852 nucleotides) under Pseudokeronopsis flava. RNAcentral describes it as "eukaryotic LSU rRNA". It matches the Rfam family "Eukaryotic large subunit ribosomal RNA", at positions 23 to 1874 of the family's 3401-position model. The record is from RNAcentral. Lineage: Eukaryota; Ciliophora; Spirotrichea; Urostylida; Pseudokeronopsidae.
ACCCGCUGAAUUUAAGCAUAUCACUAAGCGGAGGAAAAGAAAUUAACUAAGAUUGCCUUAGUAACGGCGAGUGAAGUGGCAAAAGCCCAAACUGGAAAUCUUCAUGCUUCGCAUGACGAAUUGUAAUCUAAAGAGUAGAAGCUCACCGGGUGGUGUCGCAGAAGUGCCUUAGAACGGGCCGCCAGAGAGGGUGACAGCCCCGUAUGUGGUGACACUGCCUAACGAGCUCUGCUUGAAGAGUCGGGUAGUUUUGAAUUGCUGCCCUAGGUGGGAGAUAGACUUCUUCUAAGGCUAAAUAUAUGUGGGAAACCGAUAGCGAACAAGUACUGUGAAGGAAAGAUGAAAAGAACUUUGAAAAGAGAGUCAAAAGACUUGAAAUCGUUGGGAAGGAAGCGGUAGAAAAUUAUUCUCUGCGGUAGCAAAGUGUUCCACACGAGUAUUGCGGUUGUAUAGUACGUCAAAGGCUUGCUAUCGUACGUGCUUGUUGGAUUGCGGAGCUCACGCAGUGAGGCAAAAUGAGGUGUUAAAUCCACAAAAGCUUCUUGGAUCUGGGACUCUGCGGAGUUCAAUCCUGGUCUGCUGGUGGGCUUAAUGCCUGAGGAUGCUCUGUGCGAUUUUGCCAAAAUGGUUUUUACCGACCCGUCUUGAAACACGGACCAAGGAGUCUAACAUAUAUGCGAGUGUGCUGGUGGAGAAACCAACACGCAUAAUGAAAGUAACAGAUGCCAAGCGCAAGCAGCAGCAUCAACCGAUGAGGUUCCUCUGGUGCCUAUUCGAGUAAGAGCAUAUCUGUUAGGACCCGAAAGAUGGUGAACUAUGCCUGAGUAGGGUGAAGCCAGGGGAAACUCUGGUGGAGGCUCGUAGCGGUUCUGACGUGCAAAUCGAUCGUCAAACUUGGGUAUAGGGGCGAAAGACUAAUCGAACCAUCUAGUAGCUGGUUCCCUCCGAAGUUUCCCUCAGGAUAGCUGGGACAAUAACGCAGUUUUAUUAGGUAAAGCGAAUGAUUAGAGGUAUCUGGGGUUCCUUACCCUGGACCUAUUCUCAAACUUUAAAUUGGUAAGAACCUUUGCCUUUCUUAAUUGAGGUGAGGGGGUCAAUGCGUGUCCCUAGUGGGCCAUUUUUGGUAAGCAGAACUGGCGAUGGGGGUUGCUCCUAACGCUGAGUUAAGGUGCCUAAAUGCAUGCUCAUCAGACACUACAAAGGGUGUUGGUUCAUUUAGACAGCAGGACGGUGGCCAUGGAAGUCGGAACCCGCUAAGGAGUGUGUAACAACUCACCUGCCGAAUGGACUAGCCCCGAAAAUUGAUGGCGCUAAAGCGUGCUACCGAUACUCGGCCAUUGCAGCGAGAGUGAGGCUGCAAUGUGUAGGAGGGCGUGAACGUUGUUGCGAAGCCUCUGGCGUGAGCCUUGGUUGAACAGCGUUUAGUGCAGAUCUUGGUGGUAGUAGCAAUUAUUCAAAUGAGAACUUUGAAGGCCGAAGUGGAGAAGGUUUCCGUGAGAACAGCAAUUGGUCACGGGUGACUCGAUCCUAAGACAUGGGGCAAUCCCUUGUUAAGUGCACCGUAUGGUGCGUAGUCGAAAGGGAAUGAGGUUAAUAUUCCUCAAGCUGGAUGUGGGUGUUGUAUGGCAACAUAAGUGAGCUCAGAAACGUCAGCAUGAGCCUCUGGAAGAGUUAUCUUUUCUUUUUAACAGGCUAGCGACCUUGAAAUUGGAUUAACCAGAGCUAAGGUGGCAUGCCUGGAAGAGCACCUUGCUUUUUGAGGUGUCAGGUGCGCUCAUGAUGACCCAUGAAAAUCUGAGUGAGACAAUUUCACACCAGGUCGUACCCACAACCGCAUCAGGUCUCCAAGGUU